GUUCAACCCCCUCCUCUGCUA
RNAcentral lists this transfer RNA (21 nucleotides) under Sarkidiornis melanotos (knob-billed duck). Its description in RNAcentral is "partial tRNA-Met". RNAcentral also lists the same sequence under 1 other name. Lineage: Eukaryota; Metazoa; Chordata; Aves; Anseriformes; Anatidae. The record is from RNAcentral.